UACAGAGGGGGCAAGCGUUGUUCGGAAUUACUGGGCGUAAAGGGCGCGUAGGCGGCCGCCUAAGUCAGACGUGAAAUCCCUCGGCUUAACCGGGGAACUGCGUCUGAUACUGGAUGGCUUGAGUUUGGGAGAGGGAUGCGGAAUUCCAGGUGUAGCGGUGAAAUGCGUAGAUAUCUGGAGGAACACCGGUGGCGAAGGCGGCAUCCUGGACCAACACUGACGCUGAGGAGCGAAAGCCAGGGGAGCAAACGGG
RNAcentral lists this ribosomal RNA (253 nucleotides) under uncultured bacterium. RNAcentral's name for it is "partial 16S ribosomal RNA". It matches the Rfam family "Bacterial small subunit ribosomal RNA", at positions 524 to 776 of the family's 1533-position model. The record is from RNAcentral.